Long non-coding RNA from Carassius auratus (goldfish), 1675 nucleotides. RefSeq lists it as uncharacterized. The record is from RefSeq and is a predicted model, not a curated record. The transcript has 3 exons. Lineage: Eukaryota; Metazoa; Chordata; Actinopteri; Cypriniformes; Cyprinidae.
UAAUAAUAAUUUAUGCACAAUAUAUAUAGCAUCAAUGUUAUCAGUACAAUUAAAAUAACAAACCGAUUUUAGUUCAAACAUGUUAAUUGGACCUGCUUAAAAUGUUUUAAAAAUGAUUACAUUUAAUGACGUUUACAUUUAGAACUGAACUAGGCCUAUACAGCCACCAAAACGUAUUGUAUUUUUAAUUUAACCAAUUUUAACAAAGGAAAAAUACUUUUUUGUCUUAUAGCCUAUUUAUUCUCUCGACUUAUUCUCGAGAGAGAGAAUAAGUGCGCAAACUCACACGCAGCCCACACUAAUCUUUCCACCCACGCGCACUGCGCGCCGCUGUGUUGACAGACAGAGCAAGCGGCACGUUUCUUUUAGAAUUAAGACGUUGUACUACACACGUCACAGCUGCCUGCAGGUGUCGUUACAUUUACUACAACAGUUCUUGCCCGAUAUGUAUUCGCGUUUUUGAGACAGAACUACACGAAUAUCUGUAUGUAAUCGGGGCUAGUUGUCAAGCAUUCACACCAGUAUAAUUCUAACCUUAAUCGGAAAGUAAACAAUAAGAUUUAGUAAACGAUACUGUCUCUUUCUUUCUAUGACUAGAAACCAUUAGGCAAUGUGUGUGAGCCAGAGGAAAGCGUCUCAGGUGAAUAGGGGAUUUGUCAGAGAGGUGUGUGAUUGUGUUUGCGUGAAGCAGUUUUCAGGGUCUUUCCUCUAAGACUGCCCUCAACGGUCAACAACGUCGAAAGUCGCCUACUUUAAGCGCAAAUAUGCGGAAGAGGAGGAUGUUCGGGGAAGCCUACAUGGAUAUUUACAAAAACACCUGAUCCUGCGUGAGGAGCGCAGCUGCAUCCUGCGCAUGUCUCUGCAGAAGCUGCGUUUCCUAGACGACCCUGAGGCUUACCUCCGUCGCUCCGUGCUCAUCAAUAACCUGCUACGCAAGAUCCACCUGGACGAAGCCCAGAGGGAGAGAGAGAAACAGAGAUAUGAAGAGGAAGAGGAGACGGAGUGGAGGCGGAAGAGACUGAAGGUGGUGCUCAAGGAGUUCCAGCAGUACAAGCUGCUGCCGUAUUCAUCUUCCCCAGCCUCAUGCAUCUGUGGCCUGGGCAGCUGCCACACCAUGCCCUCCUGAUCAUGGAGCUUCAAUGCUCCUCUACCAUUUGGAUGAUAAAGUAUAAGAUGUCAUCGUGCACAUGCAGGGGAUUAUUCCAACUGUCUACGACUGAUUUCCAGGAGCCAGCAUUAAGGAAGAAGGGGAUUCGGGUUUGUGUGCAUUUGAGCUUGUGCUGGUGAGCGUGCACUCUGAGGUUUGUUGAUGUGACAGGUGUUAUCCAUAUUAGGGUGUGUUUUUCCAACCGGAAAAAAAUAUCAUCCUGUUAUCACUGCCUCACUCUGUUGAUAUGAACUUUGACCACAGACAUUUUGUUUUCAUAAAUUUGCUUGAGUGAGCUAUAAUCCUAAGCAUUGUUUUCAGGGAUAAAAAAGGCAAACAAGAAGCCAUGCACCUUGUGGUUGUUAUUUUAUGUUUUUAGAAGAAAAAAAAAAGAGACGAAAAUUACAAUUUUAAGUGUCAAAGUCCCAGCUGUUCUUUAGGAUAGAGUGAUUUUAUUAAAGCUUUGUUGCAGUGAAAUUGACUUUUUUUGUGUAAGUGGCUAAUGAUGUCGAACUAGUAAUGAUUUUU